UACAGAGGGGGCAAGCGUUGUUCGGAAUUACUGGGUGUAAAGCGCGUGUAGGCGGCCUGCCAAGUCUGCUGUGAAAGCGCCUGGCUUAACCGGGCGAGGUCGGUGGAAACUGGCGGGCUGGAGGACGGUAGAGGGGGGUGGAAUUCCCGGUGUAGUGGUGAAAUGCGUAGAGCUCGGGAAGAACAUCGGUGGCGAAGGCGGUUCUCUGGGCCUUACCUGACGCUGAGGAGCGAAAGCGUGGGGAGCGAACAGG
Molecule: ribosomal RNA, 253 nt
Filed under: uncultured bacterium
Lineage: Bacteria
Description: partial 16S ribosomal RNA
Rfam family: Bacterial small subunit ribosomal RNA
Source: RNAcentral